RNAcentral lists this ribosomal RNA (477 nucleotides) under uncultured bacterium. Its description in RNAcentral is "partial 16S ribosomal RNA". It matches the Rfam family "Bacterial small subunit ribosomal RNA", at positions 30 to 507 of the family's 1533-position model. The record is from RNAcentral.
AUUGAACGCUGGCGGCAUGCCUUACACAUGCAAGUCGAACGGUAACAGGUUAAGCUGACGAGUGGCGAACGGGUGAGUAAUGUAUCGGAACGUGCCCAGUCGUGGGGGAUAACUGCUCGAAAGAGCAGCUAAUACCGCAUACGACCUGAGGGUGAAAGCGGGGGAUCGCAAGACCUCGCGCGAUUGGAGCGGCCGAUAUCAGAUUAGGUAGUUGGUGAGGUAAAGGCUCACCAAGCCGACGAUCUGUAGCUGGUCUGAGAGGACGACCAGCCACACUGGGACUGAGACACGGCCCAGACUCCUACGGGAGGCAGCAGUGGGGAAUUUUGGACAAUGGGCGCAAGCCUGAUCCAGCCAUACCGCGUGCGGGAAGAAGGCCUUCGGGUUGUAAACCGCUUUUGUCAGGGAAGAAAAGGUUCUGGCUAAUACCUGGGACUCAUGACGGUACCUGAAGAAUAAGCACCGGCUAACUACGUG